Macrobrachium nipponense is the source of this 438-nucleotide long non-coding RNA. RefSeq lists it as uncharacterized. The transcript has 2 exons. NCBI's taxonomy places the organism in Eukaryota, Metazoa, Arthropoda, Malacostraca, Decapoda, Palaemonidae. The record is from RefSeq and is a predicted model, not a curated record.
UGAUUUUUUGUAGACAUGAUUAAUUGUAAGAAAAUCCUGGUGUCUAAAAAAAUGUUGCACUUUUUAGUGCAUUUUAAUAAAAAUGUUUAAUUUUUUUAAUUUAAUUUUUUUGUAGGUCAAGGAAAAUUAGACAAUUGGAGUCAUAAAUUUUGACUGGUUAGGAGUCUUUACUGAGUUUGGUUUUUGUUUGUAGGGGAGAGGGGUGGCCCCACAUUUGUAGUAGAAUUGAAGUUAGUCACACAAAGAUGAGAUGCUUUUAAGGAAGGACAAUACUCUACCUCAAAGGAUUAUAGAAUUACUUCAAUGGAUUCAUUGCGUGUAUGACCAGCUUUGAACGUUACAUAUGAGUUUGACCAGCCAAACUCAUUUGCAUAGUGCCACACGUCAAUGAAGUUAAAGUAUUCUAUCCCAUGGAAUAAAUAAGUACUAUUGGACAAA